AGGGAAUCUUCCGCAAUGGGCGAAAGCCUGACGCAGCGACGCCGCGUGAGCGAUGAAGGCCUUCGGGUCGUAAAGCUCUGUCAGAGGGGACGAUAAUGACGGUACCCUCAGAGGAAGCCCCGGCUAACUACGUGCCAGCAGCCGCGGUAAGACGUAGGGGGCUAGCGUUGUCCGGAAUUACUGGGCGUAAAGGGCGUGUAGGCGGCCAGGCAAGUCAGUGGUGAAACACCUGGGCUUAACCGAGGUAUUGCCGUUGAAACUGUCUGGCUUGAGGAUAGAAGGGGAGUGUGGAAUUCCCGGUGUAGCGGUGAAAUGCGUAGAGAUCGGGAGGAACACCAGUGGCGAAGGCGGCACUCUGGUCUAUACCUGACGCUGAGGCGCGAAAGCUAGGGAAGCAAAC
This 400-nucleotide ribosomal RNA is filed under the name uncultured bacterium. Its description in RNAcentral is "bacterial SSU rRNA". It matches the Rfam family "Bacterial small subunit ribosomal RNA", at positions 356 to 773 of the family's 1533-position model. The record is from RNAcentral.